UGUCUAAGUAUAAGCAAUCAUACUGUGAAACUGCGAAUGGCUCAUUAAAUCAGUUAUCGUUUAUUUGAUAGUACCUUUACCUGGAUAACCGUGGUAAUUCUAGAGCUAAUACAUGCUAAAAACCCCGACUUCGGAAGGGGUGUAUUUAUUAGAUAAAAAACCAAUGCCCUCUGGGCUCCUUGGUGAUUCAUAAUAACUAAACGAAUCGCAUGGCCUUGCGCCGGCGAUGGUUCAUUCAAAUUUCUGCCCUAUCAACUUUCGAUUGUAGGAUAGAGGCCUACAAUGGUUUUAACGGGUGACGGGGAAUUAGGGUUCGACUCCGGAGAGGGAGCCUGAGAAACGGCUACCACAUCCAAGGAAGGCAGCAGGCGCGCAAAUUACCCAAUGCCGAUACGGCGAGGUAGUGACAAUAAAUACUGAUACGGGGCUCUUUCGGGUCUCGUAAUUGGAAUGAGUACAAUCUAAAUCCCUUAACGAGGAACAAUUGGAGGGCAAGUCUGGUGCCAGCAGCCGCGGUAAUUCCAGCUCCAAUAGCGUAUAUUAAAGUUGUUGCCGUUAAAAAGCUCGUAGUUGAACCUUGGACCUGGCUGAUCUGUCCUCCUAAUCGAGCGCACGGAUUCGGUCGGGUCUUUCCUUCUGGGGAGCCCUAUGCCCUUCACUGGGUGUAGUGGGGAACCAGGACUUUUACCUUGAAAAAAUUAGAGUGUUCAAAGCAGGCCUUUGCUCGAAUACAUUAGCAUGGAAUAAUAGAAUAGGACAUCGGUUCUAUUUUGUUGGUUUCUAGGACCGCUGUAAUGAUUAAUAGGGAUAGUCGGGGGCGUCUGUAUUCAAUUGUCAGAGGUGAAAUUCUUGGAUUUAUUGAAGACAAACUACUGCGAAAGCAUUCGCCAAGGAUGUUUUCAUUAAUCAGUGAACGAAAGUUAGGGGAUCGAAGACGAUCAGAUACCGUCGUAGUCUUAACCAUAAACUAUGCCGACUAGGGAUCGGACGGUGGUUUUUUUAUGCCCCGUUCGGCACCUUACGAGAAAUCAAAGUUUUUGGGCUCGGGGGGGAAUAUGGUCCCAAGGCUGAA
Molecule: ribosomal RNA, 1072 nt
Filed under: Capronia camelliae-yunnanensis
Lineage: Eukaryota; Fungi; Ascomycota; Eurotiomycetes; Chaetothyriales; Herpotrichiellaceae
Description: SSU rRNA
Rfam family: Eukaryotic small subunit ribosomal RNA
Source: RNAcentral